This 194-nucleotide ribosomal RNA is filed under the name uncultured Klebsiella sp. RNAcentral describes it as "partial 16S ribosomal RNA". It matches the Rfam family "Bacterial small subunit ribosomal RNA", at positions 339 to 525 of the family's 1533-position model. The record is from RNAcentral. Lineage: Bacteria; Pseudomonadati; Pseudomonadota; Gammaproteobacteria; Enterobacterales; Enterobacteriaceae.
CUACGGGAGGCAGCAGUGGGGAAUAUUGCACAAUGGGCGCAAGCCUGAUGCAGCCAUGCCGCGUGUGUGAAGAAGGCCUUCGGGUUGUAAAGCACUUUCAGCGGGGAGGAAGGCGGUGAGGUUAAUAACCUCAUCGAUUGACGUUACCCGCAGAAGAAGCACCGGCUAACUCCGUGCCAGCAGCCGCGGUAAUA